GCAGAGAACCGCAUGCGUCCCGAUACCUGCGCAACCCGAUACCAAACUCAUUUCCAGUUCCAAUUCUACUCCGAGCAUCCGAGGAAAGGCAGCCGAGAGCGCAUUUAAGAAAACACACGAAGGAGGAUAAUCAGUCUGGCCGCGUUCAAGCUCUAGACUCCCUGGCCAGCCAGUGUAGUGAACAGACAUCCAUCAAGAGGGCUUUCUCCGUAACGGGCGAAGAUAGAAUUAUAUUUUAUUUUGUUAUUUUUAAUUUUGAUUUGUAUAUAAAAAUCCUGAAUAUAUAUGACUGACCAGACAA
This is a long non-coding RNA of Diabrotica virgifera virgifera (western corn rootworm), 301 nucleotides long. RefSeq lists it as uncharacterized. The transcript is spliced from 2 exons. The record is from RefSeq and is a predicted model, not a curated record. NCBI's taxonomy places the organism in Eukaryota, Metazoa, Arthropoda, Insecta, Coleoptera, Chrysomelidae.